Molecule: transfer RNA, 93 nt
Filed under: Drosophila virilis
Lineage: Eukaryota; Metazoa; Arthropoda; Insecta; Diptera; Drosophilidae
Rfam family: tRNA
About the family: Transfer RNA (tRNA) molecules are approximately 80 nucleotides in length. Their secondary structure includes four short double-helical elements and three loops (D, anti-codon, and T loops). Further hydrogen bonds mediate the characteristic L-shaped molecular structure. tRNAs have two regions of fundamental functional importance: the anti-codon, which is responsible for specific mRNA codon recognition, and the 3' end, to which the tRNAs corresponding amino acid is attached (by aminoacyl-tRNA synthetases). tRNAs cope with the degeneracy of the genetic code in two manners: having more than one tRNA (with a specific anti-codon) for a particular amino acid; and 'wobble' base-pairing, i.e. permitting non-standard base-pairing at the 3rd anti-codon position.
Source: Rfam by way of RNAcentral
CCUUCGAUAGCUCAGUUGGUAGAGCGGUGGACUGUAGAGUGAUAUGCAAUUGUAGAAAUCCAUAGGUCGCUGGUUCAAAUCCGGCUCGAAGGA